Molecule: ribosomal RNA, 253 nt
Filed under: uncultured bacterium
Lineage: Bacteria
Description: partial 16S ribosomal RNA
Rfam family: Bacterial small subunit ribosomal RNA
Source: RNAcentral
UACGUAGGGUGCGAGCGUUGUCCGGAAUUAUUGGGCGUAAAGAGCUCGUAGGCGGUGUGUCACGUCGGCCGUGAAAACUUGCAGCUUAACUGUGGGCGUGCGGUCGAUACGGGCAUCACUGGAGUUCGGCAGGGGAGACUGGAAUUCCUGGUGUAGCGGUGAAAUGCGUAGAUAUCGGGAGGAACACCAGUGGCGAAGGCGGCUCCUGGACCGACACUGACGCUGAGGCGCGAAAGCUAGGGGAGCAAACGGG